UUCGGCUAGGGGGCCAUCCCGGCUUACCAACCCGAUGCAAACUGCGAAUACCGGAGAAUGUUAUCACGGGAGACACACGGCGGGUGCUAACGUCCGUCGUGAAGAGGGAAACAACCCAGACCGCCAGCUAAGGUCCCAAAGUCAUGGUUAAGUGGGAAACGAUGUGGGAAGGCCCAGACAGCCAGGAUGUUGGCUUAGAAGCAGCCAUCAUUUAAAGAAAGCGUAAUAGCUCACUGGUCGAGUCGGCCUGCGCGGAAGAUGUAACGGGGCUAAACCAUGCACCGAAGCUGCGGCAGCGACACUGUGUGUUGUUGGGUAGGGGAGCGUUCUGUAAGCCUGUGAAGGUGUGUCGUGAGGCAUGCUGGAGGUAUCAGAAGUGCGAAUGCUGACAUAAGUAACGAUAAAGCGGGUGAAAAGCCCGCUCGCCGGAAGACCAAGGGUUCCUGUCCAACGUUAAUCGGGGCAGGGUGAGUCGACCCCUAAGGCGAGGCCGAAAGGCGUAGUCGAUGGGAAACGGGUUAAUAUUCCCGUACUUGGUGUUACUGCGAAGGGGGGACGGAGAAGGCUAUGUUGGCCGGGCGACGGUUGUCCCGGUUUAAGCGUGUAGGUGUGUGUUCCAGGUAAAUCCGGUUCACUUUAACACUGAGGCGUGACGACGAGGCACUACGGUGCUGAAGCAACAAAUGCCCUGCUUCCAGGAAAAGCCUCUAAGCAUCAGGUAACAUCAAAUCGUACCCCAAACCGACACAGGUGGUCAGGUAGAGAAUACCAAGGCGCUUGAGAGAACUCGGGUGAAGGAACUAGGCAAAAUGGUGCCGUAACUUCGGGAGAAGGCACGCUGACACGUAGGUGAAGUGAUUUACUCAUGGAGCUGAAGUCAGUCGAAGAUACCAGCUGGCUGCAACUGUUUAUUAAAAACACAGCACUGUGCAAACACGAAAGUGGACGUAUACGGUGUGACGCCUGCCCGGUGCCGGAAGGUUAAUUGAUGGGGUCAGCGCAAGCGAAGCUCCUGAUCGAAGCCCCGGUAAACGGCGGCCGUAACUAUAACGGUCCUAAGGUAGCGAAAUUCCUUGUCGGGUAAGUUCCGACCUGCACGAAUGGCGUAAUGAUGGCCAGGCUGUCUCCACCCGAGACUCAGUGAAAUUGAACUCGCUGUGAAGAUGCAGUGUACCCGCGGCAAGACGGAAAGACCCCGUGAACCUUUACUAUAGCUUGACACUGAACAUUGAGCCUUGAUGUGUAGGAUAGGUGGGAGGCUUUGAAGUGUGGACGCCAGUCUGCAUGGAGCCGACCUUGAAAUACCACCCUUUAAUGUUUGAUGUUCUAACGUGGACCCGUUACCCGGGUUGCGGACAGUGUCUGGUGGGUAGUUUGACUGGGGCGGUCUCCUCCUAAAGAGUAACGGAGGAGCACGAAGGUUGGCUAAUCCUGGUCGGACAUCAGGAGGUUAGUGCAAUGGCAUAAGCCAGCUUGACUGCGAGCGUGACGGCGCGAGCAGGUGCGAAAGCAGGUCAUAGUGAUCCGGUGGUUCUGAAUGGAAGGGCCAUCGCUCAACGGAUAAAAGGUACUCCGGGGAUAACAGGCUGAUACCGCCCAAGAGUUCAUAUCGACGGCGGUGUUUGGCACCUCGAUGUCGGCUCAUCACAUCCUGGGGCUGAAGUAGGUCCCAAGGGUAUGGCUGUUCGCCAUUUAAAGUGGUACGCGAGCUGGGUUUAGAACGUCGUGAGACAGUUCGGUCCCUAUCUGCCGUGGGCGCUGGAGAACUGAGGGGGGCUGCUCCUAGUACGAGAGGACCGGAGUGGACGCAUCACUGGUGUUCGGGUUGUCAUGCCAAUGGCACUGCCCGGUAGCUAAAUGCGGAAGAGAUAAGUGCUGAAAGCAUCUAAGCACGAAACUUGCCCCGA
RNAcentral lists this ribosomal RNA (1907 nucleotides) under Salmonella enterica subsp. enterica serovar Enteritidis. RNAcentral's name for it is "partial 23S ribosomal RNA". It matches the Rfam family "Bacterial large subunit ribosomal RNA", at positions 914 to 2802 of the family's 2925-position model. The record is from RNAcentral. Lineage: Bacteria; Pseudomonadati; Pseudomonadota; Gammaproteobacteria; Enterobacterales; Enterobacteriaceae.